RNAcentral lists this ribosomal RNA (219 nucleotides) under uncultured fungus. RNAcentral's name for it is "partial 26S ribosomal RNA". It matches the Rfam family "Eukaryotic large subunit ribosomal RNA", at positions 38 to 281 of the family's 3401-position model. The record is from RNAcentral. Lineage: Eukaryota; Fungi.
GCAUAUCAAUAAGCGGAGGAAAAGAAACUAACCAGGAUUGCCUCAGUAAGGGCGACUGAAGUGGCAAUAGCUCACCAUGUGAAUCUGCGUAAGCCGAAUUGUGGUUUCGCUUGUGUUAGGGGCUGGGCCAAGUCCGUUGGAACACGGCAGCUGAGAGGGUGAGACUCCCGUUUGCCUGGCCCUUGGAACAAGUGUGUUCGAGUCGAGUUGUUUGGGAAU